This is a long non-coding RNA of Passer domesticus (house sparrow), 1502 nucleotides long. RefSeq lists it as uncharacterized. Lineage: Eukaryota; Metazoa; Chordata; Aves; Passeriformes; Passeridae. The transcript has 3 exons. The record is from RefSeq and is a predicted model, not a curated record.
GUUUUGCUGUCACUGCUGGCAGAGCCUGGGCCAGUCUGGCUCCAGCCCGAACUCCAUCCAAGCAACAUUGUGAGGAGUGGAGGAUCAAGCCAGGCUACUCUAGUGCUGGGUGGUGGCUGUUACUGGCAGAUCUUGGUGCCCGUCUCAGAGCCAUCACUCCUGUUUCACGCCCUGCCUCCUUCAGGCAGCCAAGCACUGCAGAUGCAGCACUGAGGGAGGUGACAGCAGCGAGGGCAAACAGCCCCUGAUCCUUAUCUCUCCACAAUUUUGUGCUGCAGAGCACAAAAAUGUCCACAGAGACCACUAGCAACUGUGCCAUCUGCCAGGACACUUGUGAGGAUGUGGCUUCUACUCUGCCCUGUCACCACCAGUUUUGCCUGGGCUGUAUCCUGCGGUGGACACAGAGAAAUCCAGUGUGCCCACUCUGCAGAAGAACAAUAGUGACUGUCCGAUUUUCUGAUCAUGGAGAAGACGACUAUCUGGAGACAUCCAUCACAGUCCCUGAAGACCUGCUAGAUGGCAGCAGCCAGGGAGGGAGAGCUCUAGACAGCCCGGACGAGAACAGCUCCCAUCCUCCUCUGGUGUCCCCUUCAUCUUCUCCACAGGGGAGAGUGUCUCCAGCAGAGCAGGAAGGAUCAAGGCUGGAGUUUGUAGGCAGUGUCUUGCCUGAGGUCUGGGCAGAAAUUUUCCGUCAACAACAGCAUCUCCUGGACUCCAUGCGGCCCUGGCUGCAUGAGAGGCUGCAGGAAAUAUACCAGGGCUGGUGGUGGGUAGUAGAUGCCAUAGAGAGCAGCAUCUUGCAUGGCCUUUGCAUCUAUGGGCCAAAUGCUGAGAUGCUGGUCGAGGUGCUACAGCCUCUCCUCGAGGAACACACAGCACCACUGGUCCAUGAUGUCAUCAGGAUCAUUAUGGGCCAGUGCCGUGAGGAGGCUCAGAGGCUUCUGCAUUCUGAUGCUGUCAGGGAUGAGAACAACGGCCCUGUGGCCAGCUCCAGCUCCAGCUCCAGCUCCAGCUCCAGCUCCAGCUCCACUUUCACCAGCUCCAGCAAUUCCAGGAUCUCCAGUUUCAGCACAUGCAUCUCCAGCAACUUCAGGAGCUCCAGCUUCAGCAGCAACAGCUGCAGCUGCAGCUGCAGCUGCACUUGUAGUUGCAGCUGCAGCUGCAGCUCCAACAGCUGCAGCUCCAACAGCUGUAGUUCCAAUAGCUGCAGCUCCAGCAGCUCCCAGCAAGGGACUCCUGACAGCAGCCCCACAGGCUCUGAUGAGGAGGAGGAAGCUGGUACAUCAGAGGCUUCCCCCCACCGAGGGCAGCAGUCGCAGCGCUUCUGCUCCCAGGGCAGGGACUGAUUGUCUGCUGGGCCCAGCCUAUCUGACAAAAGAGGGGGCCCAGGCCCUAAAGCUCUCCCCAGGCCUGCCAGAGGCUGCCCCUUUGGCAGCUCUAGCAGGGCUCUUCCAAACCUUUAUUCAAGGAACAGGAAAUAAAUGGUUAUUUCCCUCACAAAA